CGCGCAGGCGGCUAUCUACGUCCGGGGUGGAAGCCCAGAGCUCAACUCUGGGACUGCCUUGGAUACGGGAUGGCUUGAGGAUCGGAGAGGCAAGGGGAAUUCCACGUGUAGCGGUGAAAUGCGUAGAGAUGUGGAGGAACACCUGUGGCGAAGGCGCCUUGCUGGCCGAUUUCUGACGCUGAGGCGCGAAAGCGUGGGGAGCAAACA
Molecule: ribosomal RNA, 207 nt
Filed under: uncultured bacterium
Lineage: Bacteria
Description: partial 16S ribosomal RNA
Rfam family: Bacterial small subunit ribosomal RNA
Source: RNAcentral